GCUGGGUGGAUUAGUGGCGAACGGGUGAGUAACACGUGAGUAACCUGCCCUUGACUCUGGGAUAAGCCCGGGAAACUGGGUCUAAUACCGGAUAGGAGCGCCUGUCGCAUGACGGGUGUUGGAAAGAUUUUUCGGUCAUGGAUGGACUCGCGGCCUAUCAGCUUGUUGGUGAGGUAACGGCUCACCAAGGCGACGACGGGUAGCCGGCCUGAGAGGGUGACCGGCCACACUGGGACUGAGACACGGCCCAGACUCCUACGGGAGGCAGCAGUGGGGAAUAUUGCACAAUGGGCGGAAGCCUGAUGCAGCGACGCCGCGUGAGGGAUGACGGCCUUCGGGUUGUAAACCUCUUUCAGUAGGGAAGAAGCGAAAGUGACGGUACCUGCAGAAGAAGCACCGGCUAACUACGUGCCAGCAGCCGCGGUAAUACGUAGGGUGCGAGCGUUAUCCGGAAUUAUUGGGCGUAAAGAGCUCGUAGGCGGUUUGUCGCGUCUGUCGUGAAAGUCCGGGGCUUAACCCCGGAUCUGCGGUGGGUACGGGCAGACUAGAGUG
RNAcentral lists this ribosomal RNA (552 nucleotides) under Micrococcus flavus. RNAcentral describes it as "bacterial SSU rRNA". It matches the Rfam family "Bacterial small subunit ribosomal RNA", at positions 82 to 648 of the family's 1533-position model. The record is from RNAcentral. Lineage: Bacteria; Bacillati; Actinomycetota; Actinomycetes; Micrococcales; Micrococcaceae.